Molecule: ribosomal RNA, 425 nt
Filed under: uncultured bacterium
Lineage: Bacteria
Description: bacterial SSU rRNA
Rfam family: Bacterial small subunit ribosomal RNA
Source: RNAcentral
GAAUAUUGGACAAUGGGCGCAAGCCUGAUCCAGCCAUGCCGCGUGUGUGAAGAAGGCCUUCGGGUUGUAAAGCACUUUCAGCGAGGAGGAAGGGUGUUGUGUUAAUAGCACAGCAUUUUGACGUUACUCGCAGAAGAAGCCCCGGCUAACUCCGUGCCAGCAGCCGCGGUAAGACGGAGGGUGCUAGCGUUGUUCGGAAUCACUGGGCGUAAAGGGCGCGUAGGCGGCCUUUGGUGUCGGAUGUGAAAGCCCGGGGCUCAACUCCGGAGGUGCAUCCGAAACUCGAAGGCUGGAGGCCGGAAGAGGAGGGUGGAAUACCCAGUGUAGAGGUGAAAUUCGUAGAUAUUGGGUGGAACACCGGUGGCGAAAGCGGCUCUCUGGUCCGGUCCUGACGCUGAGGCGCGAAAGCGUGGGGAGCAAACAGG